GUGAGUGGGCAGGUGUGGGUGUGGGCAUCUGUGAGUGUGGGCAGGCGUGUGUGAUGGGCAGGUGUGCGUAAGUGUGGAUAGGUGUGUGGAUGAGUGUGGGCAGGUGUGCGAGCAUGGGCAGGUGUGAGCAUGGGUAGUUGUGUGUCAGCAUGGGCAGGUGUGUGUGGGGCAGGUGUGUGAGCACGGGUGUGAGUGUGGGCAUGUGUGAGCAUGGGCAUGUGUGGGUGUGAGUGGGCAGGUGUGUCUGAGUAUGGGCAGGUGUGUGAAGGCAGGUGUGAGCGUGGGCAGGUGUGUGGGUGUGAGCAUGGGCGGGUGUGUGAGCGUGGGCAGGUGUGUGGGUGUGUGAGCAUGGGCGGGUGUGGGAGCACGGGCAGGUGUGUGUGAACGUAGCCAUGUAAGUGGGCAGGUGUGUGUGUGAGCGUGGGCGUGUGUAAGUGGGCAGGUGUGUGUGUGGGCAGGUGUGUGUAAGUGGGCAGGUGUGUGUUUGAGCGUGGGCAUGUAAGUGGGCAGGUUGUGUGAGCGUGGGCGUGUGUAAGUGGGCAGGUGUGCGUGAGUGUGGGCAUGUGUGUAAGUGGGCAGGUGUGUGAGCGUGGGCAUGUGUGUAAGUGGGCAGGUGUGUGUGUGAGCGUGGGCAUGUGUAAGUGGGCAGGUGUGUGUGAGCGUGGGCAUGUAUGUAAGUGGGCAGGUGUGUGAGCGUGGGCAUGUGUGUAAGUGGGCAGGUGUGUGAGCGUGGGCAUGUAAGUGGGCAGGUGUGUGAGCGUGGGCGUGUGUAAGUGGGCAGGUGUGAGUGUGGGCAUGUGUGUAAG
RNAcentral lists this long non-coding RNA (806 nucleotides) under Pan troglodytes (chimpanzee). RNAcentral describes it as "long non-coding RNA NONPTRT004416". Lineage: Eukaryota; Metazoa; Chordata; Mammalia; Primates; Hominidae. The record is from RNAcentral.